UAGGGAAUCUUCCGCAAUGGGCGAAAGCUUGACGGAGCAACGCCGCGUGAGUGAUGAAGGUCUUCGGAUCGUAAAACUCUGUUAUCAGGGAAGAACAAAUGUGUAAGUAACUAUGCACGUCUUGACGGUACCUAAUCAGAAAGCCACGGCUAACUACGUGCCAGCAGCCGCGGUAAUACGUAGGUGGCAAGCGUUAUCCGGAAUUAUUGGGCGUAAAGCGCGCGUAGGCGGUUUUUUAAGUCUGAUGUGAAAGCCCACGGCUCAACCGUGGAGGGUCAUUGGAAACUGGAAAACUUGAGUGCAGAAGAGAAAAGUGGAAUUCCAUGUGUAGCGGUGAAAUGCGCAGAGAUAUGGAGGAACACCAGUGGCGAAGGCGACUUUCUGGUCUGUAACUGACGCUGAUGUGCGAAAGCGUGGGGAUCAAACAGG
RNAcentral lists this ribosomal RNA (429 nucleotides) under Actinomycetes bacterium. Its description in RNAcentral is "Actinobacteria bacterium partial 16S ribosomal RNA". It matches the Rfam family "Bacterial small subunit ribosomal RNA", at positions 355 to 776 of the family's 1533-position model. Lineage: Bacteria; Bacillati; Actinomycetota; Actinomycetes. The record is from RNAcentral.